RNAcentral lists this ribosomal RNA (493 nucleotides) under Mortierella sp. RNAcentral's name for it is "partial large subunit ribosomal RNA". It matches the Rfam family "Eukaryotic large subunit ribosomal RNA", at positions 111 to 551 of the family's 3401-position model. The record is from RNAcentral. Lineage: Eukaryota; Fungi; Mortierellomycota; Mortierellomycetes; Mortierellales; Mortierellaceae.
AAAUUUGAAAUCUGGCUGGUUUACUAGUCCGAGUUGUAAUUUAAAGAAGCGUUUUCGGUGGCAGCCUGGGUAUAAAUCCUUUGGAAUAGGGUAUCAUAGAGGGUGAGAAUCCCGUCUUUGACCUAGUGCAUGCUACUAUGUGAUACGUUUUCAAAGAGUCGAGUUGUUUGGGAAUGCAGCUCAAAAUGGGUGGUAAAUUUCAUCUAAAGCUAAAUAUUGGCGAGAGACCGAUAGCGAACAAGUACCGUGAGGGAAAGAUGAAAAGAACUUUGAAAAGAGAGUUAAACAGUGCGUGAAAUUGUUGAAAGGGAAACGUUUGACACCAGUCAUGUGGGUGGAAAAUCAGUCUUUUGCAUUGGGGAGUUGUAAAGGUUCGGACCGCAAGGCCGGCUUUUGCUUCAUCUUUGGUGUAAGGGAUGCACUUUUUCAUCUACAGGUCAACAUCAGUUUCUUUUGCUGGACAAAACUCCGAGAGAAGGUAGCAGCUUAGGCU